AUGCAGUCGAGCGGACAGAUGGGAGCUUGCUCCCUGAUGUUAGCGGCGGACGGGUGAGUAACACGUGGGUAACCUGCCUGUAAGACUGGGAUAACUCCGGGAAACCGGGGCUAAUACCGGAUGCUUGUUUGAACCGCAUGGUUCAAACAUAAAAGGUGGCUUCGGCUACCACUUACAGAUGGACCCGCGGCGCAUUAGCUAGUUGGUGAGGUAAUGGCUCACCAAGGCSACGAUGCGUAGCCGACCUGAGAGGGUGAUCGGCCACACUGGGACUGAGACACGGCCCAGACUCCUACGGGAGGCAGCAGUAGGGAAUCUUCCGCAAUGGACGAAAGUCUGACGGAGCAACGCCGCGUGAGUGAUGAAGGUUUUCGGAUCGUAAAGCUCUGUUGUUAGGGAAGAACAAGUACCGUUCGAAUAGGGCGGUACCUUGACGGUACCUAACCAGAAAGCCACGGCUAACUACGUGCCAGCAGCCGCGGUAAUACGUAGGUGGCAAGCGUUGUCCGGAAUUAUUGGGCGUAAAGGGCUCGCAGGCGGUUUCUUAAGUCUGAUGUGAAAGCCCCCGGCUCAACCGGGGGAGGGUCAUUGGAAACUGGGGAACUUGAGUGCAGAAGAGGAGAGUGAAUUCCACGUGAAGCGGUGAAAUGCGUAGAGAUGUGGAGGAACACCAGUGGCGAAGGCGACUCUCUGGUCUGUAACUGACGCUGAGGAGCGAAAGCGGUGGGGGAGCGAACAGGAUUAGAUACCCUGAUAGUCUU
Molecule: ribosomal RNA, 761 nt
Filed under: Bacillus subtilis
Lineage: Bacteria; Bacillati; Bacillota; Bacilli; Caryophanales; Bacillaceae
Description: bacterial SSU rRNA
Rfam family: Bacterial small subunit ribosomal RNA
Source: RNAcentral